Phalacrocorax carbo (great cormorant) is the source of this 2639-nucleotide non-coding RNA. Lineage: Eukaryota; Metazoa; Chordata; Aves; Suliformes; Phalacrocoracidae. The record is from RefSeq and is a predicted model, not a curated record.
UCCGAGUGAAUAGAUUCCGAGUGAACCAGUUUUCGAGUGUCCUCACAGCCUUUAUUCCUGCUGGGAUUCUUUCAAUGGUUGGAGUUAUCUAUUCUCACAGUUUAACUGGAAGCCUUGCGAUUCGCCUGUGUUUUUACUCAAAGCCACAGCCCUCUGAUGAAUGUUAUAAGGUGAUGCUGCUCCCCAUGAGAUCAUGGUCGGCCACAUCGUCCCCUGUGUCUGUGGGGAGCAGCCCGCCAAGCUGGGCAGCGUGGUUACCUCGGUCUCGGGUUCCUCAUGUGUGUCUCUUCAGUGCACUCAGCUACAGUUUUCUUGGAUUUUCCACAGAAAAGAUUGUUUUGACCUGGAUCGAAACCCCAGAGAUUUCAUUUCUGUUCUGAAUUCCAAAUGACCUGGAAGCUUGCGUGACAUCUAUUAGAUGCCAUUGCCGAGGAUCUAUUUAAGGAUGAAGAAAAUAAUUUUUUUCUGUAAAUCCUCGAUAAAACCAAACCACCAAACAGUCAAUAGAUCCUUGCUUCGGAAAUUGGAGACAUCUUUGAAGAAAAGGUCUUUCAAUAUUGUAACUGAAUACAGGAACUUUCCUAGCAAGUAAUUUUUUGUAGUUUUAAAAGUAAUAUGUGUCAAGAAUGUUCUGUUAAGCUUAAUAGGAAAAUAUGCACAUGUAAAUGGCUGUAAAAGAAAAAGUGAACUACCACUGAGGCUGGCUGAACUAUAGAAAUUAUAGAAGCUUGGAAACUAUGACAAAAACCAAAAGAAAUUGGUGGUGGUGCUGGUGAUGCUGGGUGUGAAAUGCUGUUCCCAGCACAGUCCAUGCCAGGGAGGAGGGCUGGGCAGGACCCAGGGAUGAGCAAGGGAGCAGCCAGCCCAGGUGGAUACUGCUGGUAAAGCUAAAGGUGCACGUGUAGAUAGAAUGUUAGGAUUUUUUUCAUAAGUGUUUCAGGAAUUUAAAUAGCUGUCUAUACCCAGCCUGCUGGGAUCAUUACCUCUGGAGCAUGUUUAGGUGGGUUUUUUUAUAUUUGUAGCAUUAUCCUUGGUUGAAACAAAAUUAAUUGUUAGAACAAACACUGGUAUCUUCAGAACACCCUUCUUUAGGUAUCCUGUUUAGCACUUAAGUUUGCAUAUAACCCGAUCAUGCAGCAGUGACUGCUGAGUUGUGUGAAUUUUUGCAUUAUUUCUAUAAACAGGCCCCUUGCAAAACAGAAGAAUUCAAACACUGAUGCAGUUGGGAAAAUAAAUUGUUUAGCUUUACCUUCACAGUGUGGCUGUUCAUACUUCUGUGACUGAUAGCACCAAUGGCCUCCAACUAAAAAAAAAAAUCAGAUAUUGAAGAUUAGAGGAAUGAAAAGCUGUACAAAUUGUCCCCCCAAAAAGCAGAUGUGAGAUGCAUUCGCAACUUGAGUCCUCACAGAGUGAUAACUGGGCACACAGUUUUGACAACCUCUUGUUUUUGUCUGCCUGCUUUUGUUAGAGCCACUUAAGAGAUUUCUUAAAUAUAUAAACAGAUGCUGGUAGAGGUGAGUGCUUUGGCUGUCAAGCGCGGAGCACACCAUCCAGCGACUCUAGCUGGGUUCUAAUAUCAAAUAAUUCAGAAGAGAGCAUAAAAAUCCUGUAGUAGGCAGCCCUGUCUCUCUCUAGAUCUCCUCCUGGUCUUGAAUGAAUCAGUUUACACCUGUUAAUAUUCCUUCCAAAAAACGUGAUACUCUGCAUGGGAUGCAGUUCUAAACAUUUGGUUUUGAAACUUUGGCUUCAGCAACUUCUUGACGCGAAAGUUCCACAUCCAAAUAUAUGUAGUAUUAAAAUCCGUUUCCUUUUAUCGGUUCUGUACUUGCCAUCCUUUCAUAUACUUGUAAAUUCAGUUGCGCGAGAUGACUUAUCUCACUCCGUUCCAGGAACUGUUUGAAAGAUUACUUGGUGCAAUAAGGAAUUUUAAGAAAUGAAGGAUCUUAUUUCCUGAAAGACAUGAAGAGUCUUUAUUCUAACUCAGCUGUGAUCCCCCACAGGCGGCUGCAAAAUUUCUCAGUAGUAUGUCUUAAUCUUACUUCUUGGUUGUCAGAAGAAAUGAGAAAUUCAGAGGCAGAGAGUUGAUUUAACUUAAGUGUGUGUCGAUCUAGUCAGGAAAGCGAGCGCUAUUGCGUUUAUCGCAGCAUACUUCAAUGGCUGUUUAUGACAGUUAUGAAGUUUAAAUGGACUUUAACAGGAAUAGUUCUCUGGCUAUUAAACUUUAAUCGAUAACAAUUCAAACUCUCUUAUAAUAAUGAUUAAUGCUAUAGUUUCUGUUUGCCUAUGAUUAGUAAAUUAUAGACAUUUUAAUAAAUGGCUAAUCAGUUUUUAGGGAUUAUUAUGGAGGGGUCUGGCCAUUAGAUUGCUAACUACCAUAAUUUGUGGUGUUUUAUAAUACAUCUGCUGGAAAGCUCACAACCACUUUUAACACCUCUAUCUUCAUAUCAAUGGCAUAGCAAUACCAUCCACCUAUUAAGUAUUUAGAAUAAGUCAUAAACAGAACCUUGAUAUAAAUUGUGGCAAGCUGUAACAACAGAGGAGACUUGGAUAAGCUUGUGGCGAUUAAAACAUUACCAUUUUUCAAGAUUAUUUUAGUUAAUCUCUCAAAAAUUAAAUUCAUGCUGAAAACUAUAAAUGAU